This 497-nucleotide ribosomal RNA is filed under the name uncultured bacterium. RNAcentral describes it as "partial 16S ribosomal RNA". It matches the Rfam family "Bacterial small subunit ribosomal RNA", at positions 28 to 507 of the family's 1533-position model. The record is from RNAcentral.
GAUGAACGCUGGCGGCGUGCCUAAUACAUGCAAGUCGAGCGAACAGACGAGGAGCUUGCUCCUCUGACGUUAGCGGCGGACGGGUGAGUAACACGUGGAUAACCUACCUAUAAGACUGGGAUAACUUCGGGAAACCGGAGCUAAUACCGGAUAAUAUAUUGAACCGCAUGGUUCAAUAGUGAAAGACGGUUUUGCUGUCACUUAUAGAUGGAUCCGCGCCGCAUUAGCUAGUUGGUAAGGUAACGGCUUACCAAGGCAACGAUGCGUAGCCGACCUGAGAGGGUGAUCGGCCACACUGGAACUGGGACACGGUCCAGACUCCUACGGGAGGCAGCAGUAGGGAAUCUUCCGCAAUGGGCGAAAGCAUGACGGAGCAACGCCGCGUGAGUGAUGAAGGUCUUCGGAUCGUAAAACUCUGUUAUUAGGGAAGAACAAAUGUGUAAGUAACUAUGCACGUCUUGACGGUACCUAAUCAGAAAGCCACGGCUAACUACGUG